UCUAACGUGGCAGAUAAGUGCGGUGGAUUUAAGCUCCACAAAUAAAGUUUCAAAGCUUUCAUUAGAA
Molecule: transfer RNA, 67 nt
Filed under: Promirotermes sp. A TB-2017
Lineage: Eukaryota; Metazoa; Arthropoda; Insecta; Blattodea; Termitidae
Description: tRNA-Leu
Rfam family: tRNA
About the family: Transfer RNA (tRNA) molecules are approximately 80 nucleotides in length. Their secondary structure includes four short double-helical elements and three loops (D, anti-codon, and T loops). Further hydrogen bonds mediate the characteristic L-shaped molecular structure. tRNAs have two regions of fundamental functional importance: the anti-codon, which is responsible for specific mRNA codon recognition, and the 3' end, to which the tRNAs corresponding amino acid is attached (by aminoacyl-tRNA synthetases). tRNAs cope with the degeneracy of the genetic code in two manners: having more than one tRNA (with a specific anti-codon) for a particular amino acid; and 'wobble' base-pairing, i.e. permitting non-standard base-pairing at the 3rd anti-codon position.
Source: RNAcentral